AUGAGGCCAAUAAGUUUUGAGGAAGUUGGAGGGGGCAAUGCGAUCCAAAAACAAAGUUUGCAGGCCAUCCAAGUUCUCUGGAACGAAUGGGAGAUCCAUUGUCUCAUACUUGCGAGCUUUUCCCUACAAGUAUUCCUCUUCUUUGCAUCAGGCAUGCGGAGGCAUAGCGUGUCCCGCAUACUCAAUUCCCUUAUAUGGUUGGCCUACUUAUCAGCCGACUCUAUGGCCAUUUUCGUUCUUGGACAUCUCGCGGUCCAUGCAAGUGGCUCACACCAUCUUCUUAUCUUCUGGGCGCCGUUCCUGCUCCUCCACAUGGGAGGGCAGGACACUAUCACCGCCUUCUCCAUGCAAGAUAACAACCUCUGGCAGCGCCACCUUCUAGGAUUGGUCACCCAAGCAUCGGUGGCCGGCUAUGUCAUCUCGAUAUCGUCUUGGCAAGAUAGCCGACUCCUGGCCGCCACAGUGCUCAUGUUCUUGUCUGGGUUUUUUAAGUACAUCGGGCGUAUCUUUUGUCUUUACACAUCUAGUCCAAAGCUCCUCAAGGAUUUUACCGUGGCUAAUUUGGAUAGAUAUGUCAACGAUAUAUACUAUAUACCAGGCACUGUUCAAAAGGAAUCAUUUGAGGAUAUACUAAGGCGGAGAGUGCAUGAUAUGAUGCUCAGCGACAUCGACUUGAAGCUAAUGCCCCAUAGCAAUUCAGUACAUAUAUUGUUGGAUACUCCACUCAAUGAUAGGGCUACUAUUGAGUGCGCGACUAUCAUACCAGACUUGCUCAAUAUGCUCAAGUAUAGCGCAGACCGCUCCAAUGCCUACAUUUAUGUUGGUAUAAUGCUUGUUCGUUCUUAUGAACGUGUCUACACCAAGGCUGCGCUUCAUUUUGCGUGGAUUAACUGUUUCAGCAUAACAGUGUCCAAAUAUUAUGAGUACAAAAAGCUACGCAUAGCAUUUCUUCACAUUAUGGCAUUGCUCUUGCUCUUCCCGGUUAUCUCUGCCUCGAUAACAUUAGAGCUCUUCAUGGUUGCCGAAAAGGCGCAACUCUACAGCCAUACCGAUGUCACGAUCUCCUACAUAUUACUCCUAGGGGCCAUAAUCCUUGAGGUGGCAUCUCUCUCGAUGUCCCUUCUUUCCUACUUCGCAUCGAGUGAAGCACCAACAUCUUUUCCACUUGCACCUAUAGCCUUGUCUGUGGCCAACUAUGUUCACCCCGCAGGCCGACAUAGAAAACACUGGUCCAAAAUGCUUGGACAGUAUAACAUGUUCGAAUACCACAUGGGGGGAGCUUCCACAGGCAUCAUGUCAGUUGUAUCAUGGUGGAUUAGACAGACAUUUUCAGUAAUUCCCAACAAUAAAUAUCUCAAGGAGUUUUCAAGAAUCCCCAUAAGUAAAGAUCUUGAGGAGUUUGUUCUGGACAAAUUGUUAGAGUUUGGAACAGGGGAGGAAGCAGGCUGGAACUUUGCAAGCUUUCGUGGACAGCUAGCGCUUGAUAGGUGGACCGCUUUGCGCACGAUCAUCGAUAGCACCGACCUGCCAACAAGUGUGCUGAUCUGGCACAUUGCAACGGAGAUAUGCUACUUGACUGAAGAAAACAACAAUGGUCUUCGCGAUCCACCUAAGAAGACAAGGGUGAGCAGAGAUCUAUCAAACUAUAUCAUGUACCUUGUCUUCACGUGUGGUGUGAUGCCUACAGGAAGCUCCAAACUCGUACCUUUGCUCGCCCAUAAGGAAAUCAGGGAAGCUAUUGGACGAUAUGCUGCUAUGGCCACUAGGGAUGGAGCUAUUAGGACGGUGCUUCGAGCUAAUAUCAUAAGAAAGCAACAAUCAGCCGAUACAGAUGAUAUGGGCGGCAGCAGCAGCGAACCGGCAACUCAGGUGCAACUUCUUAAAAACAAUAUAAAGGCUAUUCGUUCUCCGGUGGUGCCUCGUGCAUGUACAGUGGCGGACGAGCUGAAUAGCAUGCCUAGAGAUGGCCGCUGGGAGCUCAUUGGAGAUGUAUGGCUGGAGAUGCUUUUCUACAUCGCGCCUCGCUGUGGGGGUGCUUUCCAUGCUCAUCAUCUCAGUACUGGCGGGGAGUUCGUGACGCAUGUCCUCCAACUCAUGCGUUUACUAGGCCCUUUUCUACCACCGCCAGAUGCUUAG
RNAcentral lists this ribosomal RNA (2136 nucleotides) under Triticum aestivum (bread wheat). RNAcentral describes it as "partial small subunit ribosomal RNA". The record is from RNAcentral. Lineage: Eukaryota; Viridiplantae; Streptophyta; Magnoliopsida; Poales; Poaceae.